UGGAUUCUUGGUGAUUCCUGGAUCAUGAGGUUGCAGAAGUUUGCAGGAGAGCAAGAAGUACACCAUGGCAUGGGGAUUGCUGGCUACAGGCUGAUCUGGGGUGUCCAGUUUCGAAACCUGAUGUGAUCUCCCAGCUGGAAUGAGGGGAGGAGCCGUGGGUCCUGGAUCUCCAGGGCUGUGAGGAAGGAGAGAUCCCCAGAGGUGCCUGCACAGCAGGUGCUGGGAUGGUGAGUGAGGAGAAGAAGCAGAAUGCUCAGCAGGAAGAUACUGAGCAAGUGGCACCACAUGGGGGAUUAUAGCACGGCUCCAUAGGGAAUGUGUCCCGGCAUCGUGUGCAGGGCAAAGCCUGUGAGAGUCAGUACAGGCCAGAGAGGGAGCAGAGAAACUAGCCAGCGGAGAAAGUGGGUAACUCCAUCAAUUGUCAGGGAACUCACCAGGACCUCCUGGAAACCACAGCCCAGCCGAGAAUACCCACAGGAGAGCGAAAAAACACAUGCACUGAGUGUGGGAAACAUUUCACUAAACACUCAGGCCUUUUAAAACAUCAGAGAAUCCACACAGGAGAGAGACCCCAUGAAUGCAGUGAGUGCUAGAAAACCUUCACUCUGAGCUCUACCCUUAGUAACCAUCAGAGGAUCCACACAGGAGGGAAACCCUAGGAAUGCUGUGAGUGUGGGAAAAGCUUCACUGUCAACUCAGACCUUAUUGGACAUCAGAAUAUCCACAAGGGAAAGAUACCUCAUCUGUGCUCUGAGUAUGGAAAAACAUUCACACAGAGUUCA
Molecule: non-coding RNA, 782 nt
Organism: Chrysemys picta bellii (western painted turtle)
Lineage: Eukaryota; Metazoa; Chordata; Testudines; Emydidae
Source: RefSeq, a predicted model, not a curated record